This 84-nucleotide transfer RNA is filed under the name Clostridiales bacterium. Its description in RNAcentral is "tRNA-Tyr". It matches the Rfam family "tRNA". From Rfam's summary of the family: Transfer RNA (tRNA) molecules are approximately 80 nucleotides in length. Their secondary structure includes four short double-helical elements and three loops (D, anti-codon, and T loops). The record is from RNAcentral. Lineage: Bacteria; Bacillati; Bacillota; Clostridia; Eubacteriales.
GGGUUGGUAUGCCUAGUGGCGAUGGCGGCGGACUGUAAAUCCGUUACAUAAGAAACAUCGGUGGUUCGACUCCACCCCAACCCA